AAGCCCAAGCAGUGAAACACACCAAAGUGCAAAUUUGGAGACGCACCCCACUAAGGUGGCGGGGCUUC
This 68-nucleotide transfer RNA is filed under the name Afrogecko porphyreus. RNAcentral's name for it is "tRNA-Cys". Lineage: Eukaryota; Metazoa; Chordata; Lepidosauria; Squamata; Gekkonidae. The record is from RNAcentral.